UACGGAAGGUGCGAGCGUUAAUCGGAAUCACUGGGCGUAAAGCGCGCGUAGGCGGUUAGAUCAGUCAGAUGUGAAAGCCCCGGGCUCAACCUGGGAACUGCAUUUGAUACUGUCUAGCUAGAGUGUGAUAGAGGGAAGUGGAAUUCCACAUGUAGCGGUGAAAUGCGUAGAUAUGUGGAGGAACACCAAUGGCGAAGGCAACUUCCUGGAUCAACACUGACGCUGAGGUGCGAAAGCGUGGGGAGCAAACAGG
This 253-nucleotide unclassified non-coding RNA is filed under the name uncultured Gammaproteobacteria bacterium. RNAcentral's name for it is "contains 16S-23S intergenic spacer region". It matches the Rfam family "Bacterial small subunit ribosomal RNA", at positions 524 to 776 of the family's 1533-position model. The record is from RNAcentral. Lineage: Bacteria; Pseudomonadati; Pseudomonadota; Gammaproteobacteria.